RNAcentral lists this unclassified non-coding RNA (310 nucleotides) under plant metagenome. RNAcentral describes it as "partial contains 5.8S ribosomal RNA, internal transcribed spacer 2, and large subunit ribosomal RNA". The stretch from base 1 to 105 matches the Rfam family "5.8S ribosomal RNA", at positions 50 to 154 of the family's 154-position model. The record is from RNAcentral.
GAAAUGCGAUAAGUAGUGUGAAUUGCAGAAUUCAGUGAAUCAUCGAAUCUUUGAACGCACAUUGCGCCCCUUGGUAUUCCAUGGGGCAUGCCUGUUCGAGCGUCAUUUGUACCCUCAAGCUCUGCUUGGUGUUGGGUGUUUGUCCCCGUCUCCGCGCGUGGACUCGCCCCAAAGUGAUUGGCAGCCGGCGUACUGGUCCCGGAGCGCAGCACAUGUCGCGCAAACGAGUGCCUUGGUACGGCGGCGUCCAUAAGCCCCUCUCUCACGCUCUUGACCUCGGAUCACGUAGGGAUACCCGCUGAACUUAAGC